This 468-nucleotide ribosomal RNA is filed under the name uncultured bacterium. Its description in RNAcentral is "partial 16S ribosomal RNA". It matches the Rfam family "Bacterial small subunit ribosomal RNA", at positions 28 to 507 of the family's 1533-position model. The record is from RNAcentral.
GACGAACGCUGGCGGCGUGCUUAACACAUGCAAGUCGAACGGAAAGGCCCUGCUUUUGUGGGGUGCUCGAGUGGCGAACGGGUGAGUAACACGUGAGUAACCUGCCCUUGACUUUGGGAUAACUUCAGGAAACUGGGGCUAAUACCGGAUAGGAGCUCCUGCUGCGUGGUGGGGGUUGGAAAGUUUCGGCGGUUGGGGAUGGACUCGCGGCUUAUCAGCUUGUUGGUGGGGUAGUGGCUUACCAAGGCUUUGACGGGUAGCCGGCCUGAGAGGGUGACCGGCCACACUGGGACUGAGAUACGGCCCAGACUCCUACGGGAGGCAGCAGUGGGGAAUAUUGCACAAUGGGCGGAAGCCUGAUGCAGCAACGCCGCGUGCGGGAUGACGGCCUUCGGGUUGUAAACCGCUUUCGCCUGUGACGAAGCGUGAGUGACGGUAAUGGGUAAAGAAGCACCGGCUAACUACGUG